Molecule: long non-coding RNA, 1514 nt
Organism: Scleropages formosus (Asian bonytongue)
Lineage: Eukaryota; Metazoa; Chordata; Actinopteri; Osteoglossiformes; Osteoglossidae
Exons: 2
Source: RefSeq, a predicted model, not a curated record
ACACCCCAACCAGACCCCUUCGCUCGUCUACUUCUGCUAACUUGAUGGUCCUGCACACGAAAGAGCCCCGGAUGGUGAGCGAAUGACGCCCUUUUCUCGAUGAUGGAGCAGGUAGAGCCACGCUGAGCGACGGGUACAGAGGACAGGUUGGCGCUUCAUGUAAAGUUUUCAACCUUUUAUUUAUCACAAUCUGUUAUGUUACUUUGUAAAGUACUCCAGUAAAAUUUAUUAAAACAGUAUUCUCUUUCCAAAACAAGUUCAGAGCCAUCAUGCACUCCCUAUUGUAAAAAAAGGCAUUUAAUCUUUCAAUAAAAAAAACCCAAAUCAUAUUAAACAUAAUUCUACAAGAAUGCAUGUGGGAUCUUGGCUGAAGUGUAUUUAAGUGAAAUGAUUGUGCUAACUUUCGGAAUUAAGAAACGGGAUGUAGCGGAAAUUAAGACCACACUGCAUGAAUACUGUUAUGUUUUACUGAGUAAGCAAAGUGAUUUUUUUUUUUUUUUUAACUCCAUUUUUCAUUUUAGUUUUACAUGCAUUAAGAUAUGGCUGAUAACCUCCAGUAGAAGCAGCUUUCCCAGCAGCAUGAGUGGCUGAGCUACAGAACGUGUCAGGGCAGACGGGGGGGGGGGGGGGGGUUAGCAGCACGGCAACAGAAAGACAGGCCAGGGGAGGACACCGAGCCGGAGGCAGGACCUUGCUUUACCAUGCUGUUUACCGUCCUUUCAGGUUCGUCCAGCGGACACCCUGCGGUCCAGGCCCCAGUCCCAAACCCUCCCGUUACUCAGGUGUGUGAAAGCGUCCAGGGCUCCUACCCCCGAUUCGGAGGCCUAAGCCCUCCGCCUUGUAAGCAUCGCUGACGGAAUGUUCCAGAACUAUCGCGACACUCAUUCAUUCAUCUCAACAACUCAUUCACUCACUUGUUCGGUCUUGACGCCACCAGGCCGUUCGAACAACGUGAGCCUGAAAAAAAUUAACAUGAUAGAACAAAUAUACUGCUUUUUUUCUUUUUUUAAAAAUACAGCGUUUGACCGUAUUCCUUAGUAUACUUUCCAGACACUUAACAGGUUCAUAUACUGUAUAUGUAAAUAUAUAAAAUUUUAGUCUGUGCAAGGAGGGAAAAAAAAAAAAAAAAAAAACAAUCUUGAACAUAUUUCUCUGAGAUCAUGUGGAAAAGCUAAUAAUGCCUAGAAAUGCAUGUUUCACACGCAGCCUCACACUACGCACCUUCAGGGUCUCCAGCGUGACCUUGACACACACGCCCCGUCCUACAUUAACACGCUCAAAUCCGUACCCUAAACUCCUUGGAGCUUUGAGAUGGUUCCCCCACAGUCGCUACAAGCAGGUACAUAAUUUCUCUCAAAAAUGGAACAAUUUUUUUUUCCCCCUAUACAAUUCAUACAAAAAUAAAAAAUUUUAAUUGUUCCAAUGUUGAUCUACUUCUCGCUCUUAUUUUGCACAGAGGUAGCGGCUAUUUCUGCGAAAGGGUCGAGUUGGGGUGAGGGUGGAACGGAGAGUUU